UGUGAUCUUCGUUCCGAACGAAGGCAGAAUGACAAAGACGGAAUAUAUUUUCAUGUCUCGCUGUUUUUAUUUCUGGGUCUGGGCAAGAAUUAGGGUCAGUAUUCAUAAACAGCGACACGUGGGAAGUCACGUUGAGCAACCACCAGUGACGUCCAACUCAGUAUGCGCAAGAUAAUGUGCAGACGGCAAAAAUUGGCAAGUACGCCUUCGUCUUCGUACUUCGUUGUCUUGCUCCAACUCUCUAUUGACAAUUUUCCGACGGGUCUCAAUUUUCCGACGGGUCUC
Paramuricea clavata is the source of this 285-nucleotide non-coding RNA. Lineage: Eukaryota; Metazoa; Cnidaria; Anthozoa; Malacalcyonacea; Plexauridae. The record is from the annotation of a GenBank genome assembly.